AAGUUCGAAGAUGGCGCCGCCUGUCUGGUCGCGGUCUUAUGACGAAAUCUUGUUAGCUGCUCUUCACUGACGCCCCCACCCCAGUGCACAAGAGAUGGGGUCUCGUUAUGUUGACCAGGCUGGUCUUGAACACCUGACCUGAAGUGAUCCUCUUGCCUCAGCCUCCCAUAGUGCUGCGAUCACAGGUGUAAGUCACUGAGUUUGGCCAUUAUUCCAUUUCUGUACACAAAAACCUUUCUCAUUCUGUGCUAUAACUAGUUAGCAUUUAAUUGGGUGGAUGUGGUAUAACUAGUGCCUUGUUGAUAUUGAUGCAUAUUUACAUGGUUUUGCUGUUAUAAACAAUGGUCCCUUGCUAUUAUAAAUCACACUGCUAUAAGUAACCUUGCAUCUAAAUUACUUCAAAUGUGUAACUAUAUGGGUAGGAUAAUUUCUAGAAGUGGAAUUGUGAACCAAAGUUUUAGGUGCAUUUGUAAUUUUGAUUUAUAACCAAUCUUUUCACUGAUCUACUUCUCUGCCUCUAAUUUCUACUAGGUGUUUGUUUGUUUGUUUGUUUGUUUUGAGACAGGGUCUUGCUCUGUCACCCAGGCUGGAGGACAGUGGUGCAAUCACGGCUCACUGCAGCCUCAACCUGCCACCUCAGCCUCCUGAAUAGUUGGGGUGUGUGGCAGGUGUAUACCACCACUUCCAGGUUUUUUUGUUGUUGUUGUUUAAUAGAGAUGAGGUCUUGCUAUAUUGCCCAGGCAGGUCUCACACUACUGAGCGCAAGCGAUCCUCCUGCCUAUGCCUCCCAAAGUGCUGGGAUUACAGGUGUGAGUUGCCAUGCCUGGCCCGGUUAUCUUUCUAAAGCAUAAAGCAACCCUGUUGAUCCUCUGCUUAAUUUUGAUGAUUAAGUAGUAUGUUCAAAAUAUAGAAAUCCAUGUAUUGAUAAUGAUCUUUUAAAAAAAGUAAAAGCCAAAAUAUCAGCUACUCAUCCUACACCAUUGAAAGUAGUGACCAUUAAACUGCUCUACCUCUACCUCCACCUCUCUACCUCUCUACCUCUCUACCUCUACCUCUACCCACGGUCUCCCUCUCUUUCCAUGGUCUCCCUCUCAUGUGGAGCCGAAGCUGGACUGUACUGCUGCCAUCUCGGCUCACUGCAACCUCCCUGCCUGAUUCUCCUGCCUCAGCCUGCCGAGUGCCUGCGAUUGCAGGCACGCGCUGCCACGCCUGACUGGUUUUGGUGGAGACGGGGUUUCGCUGUGUUGGCCGGGCCGGUCUCCAGCCCCUAACCGCGAGUGAUCCGCCAGCCUCGGCCUCCCGAGGUGCCGGGAUUGCAGACGGAGUCUCGUUCACUCAGUGCUCAAUGGUGCCCAGGCUGGAGUGCAGUGGCGUGAUCUCGGCUCGCUACAACCUACACCUCCCAGCCGCCUGCCUUGGCCUCCCAAAGUGCCGAGAUUGCAGCCUCUGCCCAGCCGCCACCCCGUCUGGGAAGUGAGGAGUGUCUCUGCCUGGCCGCCCAUCGUCUGGGAUGUGAGGAGCCCCUCUGCCUGGCUGCCCAGUCUGGAAAGUGAGGAGCGUCUCCGCCCGGCCGCCAUCCCAUCUAGGAAGUGAGGAGUGCCUCUUCCCAGCCGCCAUCACAUCUAGGAAGUGAGGAGCGUCUCUGCCCGGCCGCCCAUCGUCUGAGAUGUGGGGAGCGCCUCUGCCCCGCCGCCCCAUCUGGGAUGUGAGGAGCGCCUCUGCCCGGCCGCGACCCCGUCUGGGAGGUGAGGAGCGUCUCUGCCCGGCCGCCCCGUCUGAGAAGUGAGGAGCCACCCCAUCUGGGAAGUGAGGAGCAUCUCCGCCCGGCAGCCACCCCGUCCGGGAGGGAGGUGGGGGGUCAGCCCCCCGCCCGGCCAGCCGCCCCGUCCGGGAGGGAGGUGGGGGGGUCAGCCCCCUGCCCGGCCAGCCGCCCCGUCCGGGAGGUGAGGGGCGCCUCUGCCCGGCCGCCCCUACUGGGAAGUGAGGAGCCCCUCUGCCCGGCCACCACCCCGUCUGGGAGGUGUGCCCAACAGCUCAUUGAGAACGGGCCAGGAUGACAAUGGCGGCUUUGUGGAAUAGAAAGGCGGGAAAGGUGGGGAAAAGAUUGAGAAAUCGGAUGGUUGCCGUGUCUCUGUAGAAAGAAGUAGACAUGGGAGACUUUUCAUUUUGUUCUGCACUAAGAAAAAUUCUUCUGCCUUGGGA
RNAcentral lists this long non-coding RNA (2202 nucleotides) under Homo sapiens (human). RNAcentral's name for it is "GTF3C2 antisense RNA 2, transcript variant 1 (GTF3C2-AS2)". The record is from RNAcentral. Lineage: Eukaryota; Metazoa; Chordata; Mammalia; Primates; Hominidae.